UGUACUUAUAUGCAUACAUACAUAUCUAUAUGUGUAUAUACAUGCAUUUACGUAUGCCAUAAAUCAAGUAAUUUACAUGGGUUUGGGUCUUGUGUCUACUAUUUAGGCAAAAUGCUAUUGCAAAGAUAUGCACACAAGACAGAAGAAAUUCAUCUUCUGCCAGCUGUUGCACGAUGAUCACAAUAGCUGUUCCUGGAGUACAAAAAAGAAUGCAGACACUGACAAAGAGGUAGAUUAUGACAUUGUAUUUGUUAUUGGUGGUCAGUUAUCCUAGCAGAGUAAUCAAGGACCACCAAUGAACCAUGUUUGAUAUGUACCAGUGUUCACACAGCUAAUCUGAUCAUAGAUGUGGGAACUGGAAAAAAAAAAAGCUAUACAUGUGGAGAAGUCCAACGACUAGAUGCUGAGAAAAGAACAUCAGCAUAAGUUGGGGUAACUGCAUGACAUUGAGAGGCUCAUAGUCAAGACUCCAAUGCCUCAUUGAUUUUUCAAUAUUGUUUUGAUGAUGUCAUGUGAAUUUCUAGGGGACUGGUUUCAGACUUCUGGGAGAAUGUAACGUUAUGUUUUAUUAUUUAGGUAGUCGGAAAAGGUAGCCAUUGGAAACCAAAAUCAAAGAACAAUAGGGAUUGCAUCUUUGGUUUGGGGAAAAUAUUCAUUUGCCUUCCAGAAAUUCGACAAUCACAUAUUUAAACAACCAUUUUAUGACAAAGGAAACGCAUUAAAAGAAGCGUUCCUAGUCUUCUAGGAUUUUAUUAAUGUUUGUGUGCUGGCAAUUUAAUGGAGAGACAUUAUCAAACUGAAUAUAGAGAAUAGUUUGUUAGCAGUAUUUCUCUAAGACAUGGUUAAUCCGGAAAAGAUAGAUAUUUUUAGGCGAACACUAUAAGGAUUUGCGCUGUAUUUUCUUAUAUCUAGUUGCACGACUCAAGUGUGCGUUCCUGUCAAAUAUGAUGAUCCAUAAGCUGCAUGGUACAUUAUUGGGAGGAAUCUUCUUGAAGAUAAAGCUGUGGCUUGUCCUUUUUUUUUUUUUAGGGUAAAAAGCUGUGGCUUGUCCUUAAUUCAAUCAACAAAACAUGAUGCACUAGACGGGGGAAGAUCAAAUUUUGGGAUGUUGGAGCUGUUGGGUCUUCCACAUAAAGUGAAUUAAUCAAAUGGAUAUUGUUAUAAACUUUUUAAUUUUAAUAGUCUGUGGGACUGGGACCUGAUGGUCAAAUACAUUUCUUGACAGUGGACUUACAUCUCUCUCUUCCUCACGACCCUUCCGAAGAAAGAGGAAGUCUGUUAAAUCUGUAUUUGAAACCAUUAUCAUAUCAGUUGCUCACUAUCCUUCUGACUAAUUAAAAGUACCUUUGGGAAUUGCUAAAUUGACAAAAAAACUAUGAUAUUGGUUUGCGGAGUCAUGCAGGUUAAUAUGGCCAGCUUGAAGUGUUUAGCUGUACGAGAGGCAGCUAUAGAUUGAUUCUCUCAGAACUGUGAAUUUGAUGACCAUGAACCAUCCUUUACCACUGCAUCUUUAUAUUUGGACGUGGAUACUGGUGGCAUGUAUCCUGUUGGGCAUGCUAGUUGGUGAUACAUAAUCCUGGUCUGUGGAUCCCAAGAAGCCCCCUCCCUAGUGAAUGUGCAAUGCUAAUUUUUAUGAUGUCUACCACAGCAAAAUGAGAACGGUGGAUACUAGUGGUCUCAUUGAAAUCUGCAGGUGCAAUUCUGUUUGCUGGCAGUUGUACAGUGGAGUCAGAUGGUAUUUUGCUGCAUGAGAAGGUUAAACAAUGGUGAUUCGGCCUAAUAAUGUUAUAUAUGAGGAUGACAAACCAUAUGCACCUUUCUUCUGCUUGUUCCUGGCCGGAUGACAUGCUCACUGUACUCGGUGAGAACUGGGAGUGUAACCGGUCGGUCCACGUUUGAGAGAAUUGGGGUCAUGGCCAACUUACUAUCAACAGAAUUUAUACCUUCAUGUCAAGUUCACCCAUUACUCUUUACGUAAGACUUAACCUGGCAAGAUUGGAUAUUCUGUCUCCUAGGUAUCUCUGAGUCUCUUUUCUCUGGUUGGUGGGGGGCCCUCUGUGUGGUUUUUUCUUGUCCUUUUUUUUUCUUAUGUGGAUAUGGAUAGUGAUGCGGUGAACCUUAAAUUUUGUAUUCAUAACAGAUUUAACGGCUUUAAAUGGCAAAAGAAAAAUUCUUUCA
Molecule: long non-coding RNA, 2178 nt
Organism: Elaeis guineensis (African oil palm)
Lineage: Eukaryota; Viridiplantae; Streptophyta; Magnoliopsida; Arecales; Arecaceae
Source: RefSeq, a predicted model, not a curated record